This is a long non-coding RNA of Monopterus albus (swamp eel), 273 nucleotides long. RefSeq lists it as uncharacterized. The transcript has 3 exons. Lineage: Eukaryota; Metazoa; Chordata; Actinopteri; Synbranchiformes; Synbranchidae. The record is from RefSeq and is a predicted model, not a curated record.
AGCUGCACUGUGGGAAGAAACAGAGAUACUAAGAGAGGUUGGAGAUGUGUCACCAACGGAGAAUUAAGGAAGGGAGACAUAUGCCACUACUUCGUCCAUACGCAACUCACUCUUCAUGAAAGUGACAACCAUUGGACGGCUGCAGGUCUGGCAUCCAAAGACUCCAUCAGCCAGUGGGAGCUUCACAUCAGAGCCUCUGGUUCAGAGAUGGGACUGAGCUCCACAAGACUGCUGAGCCAAACAACGAAGUCCCAACCAAGAAACACAACAAUG